GAUGAACGCUGGCGGCGUGCCUAACACAUGCAAGUCGAACGGAAAGGCCUCUUUCGGGGCGUACUCGUGUGGCGAACGGGUGAGUAACACCUGAGUAACCUGCCCUUGACUUUGGGAUAACUCCAGGAAAGUGGGGCUAAUACAUGCUAGGUGCUCCUGCUGCAUGGUGGGGGCAGGAAAGUUCCGGGGGGUGGGGGUCGAUUCGCGGGUUAUCAGCUAGUUGGUGGGGUAGUAGCUUACCAAGGCGUUGAUGGGUAGCCGGCCCGAGAGGGUGACCCGACACAGUGGGGCUGAGACGCGGCACAGAGUCCUACGGGCGGCCGAAGUUGGGAAGGGUGGACGAUGGGGGGAAGCCUGAUCAAGCGAUGCCGGGUGGAUGAUGAAGGGCCUUGGGUUGUAUAACGGUCUUCUGAGGGAAAAACACGUUCGCUCAUAACGAAGCUUUGUGUGACGGUAGUGGAUAAAGAAGCACCGGCUAACUACGUG
RNAcentral lists this ribosomal RNA (486 nucleotides) under uncultured bacterium. Its description in RNAcentral is "partial 16S ribosomal RNA". It matches the Rfam family "Bacterial small subunit ribosomal RNA", at positions 28 to 507 of the family's 1533-position model. The record is from RNAcentral.